AUUGAACGCUGGCGGCAUGCUUUACACAUGCAAGUCGAACGGCAGCACAGGGAGCUUGCGCCUUGGUGGCGAGUGGCGAACGGGUGAGUAAUGUAUCGGAACGUGCCUGGUAGUGGGGGAGAACUACUCGAAAGAGUGGCUAAUACCGCAUGAGUUCUUUGGAUGAAAGCGGGCGACCUUCGGGCCUCGUGCUACUGGAUGGGCCGAUCUCGGAUUAGGUUGUUGGUGGGGUAAAGGCCUACCAAGCCUGCGAUCUGUAGCUGGUCUGAGAGGACGACCAGCCACACUGGAACUGAGACACGGCCCAGACUCCUACGGGAGGCAGCAGUGGGGAAUAUUGGACAAUGGGCGCAAGCCUGAUCCAGCAAUGCCGCGUGCAGGACGAAGGCCUUCGGGUUGUAAAGUGCUUUUGUACGGAACGAAAAGAAUCUGGCUAAUAUCUAGAGAUCAUGACGGUACUGUAAGAAUAAGCACCGGCUAACUACGUG
Molecule: ribosomal RNA, 488 nt
Filed under: uncultured bacterium
Lineage: Bacteria
Description: partial 16S ribosomal RNA
Rfam family: Bacterial small subunit ribosomal RNA
Source: RNAcentral